UACGUAGGGGCUAGCGUUAUCCGGAAUUACUGGGCGUAAAGGGUGCGUAGGUGGUUUCUUAAGUCAGAGGUGAAAGGCUACGGCUCAACCGUAGUAAGCCUUUGAAACUGAGAAACUUGAGUGCAGGAGAGGAGAGUAGAAUUCCUAGUGUAGCGGUGAAAUGCGUAGAUAUUAGAAAAAUACCAGUUGCGAAGGCGGCUCUCUGGACUGUAACUGACACUGAGGCACGAAAGCGUGGGGAGCAAACAGGAUUAGAUACCCUGGUAGUCCCUGAG
Molecule: ribosomal RNA, 275 nt
Filed under: uncultured prokaryote
Description: partial 16S ribosomal RNA
Rfam family: Bacterial small subunit ribosomal RNA
Source: RNAcentral